RNAcentral lists this transfer RNA (76 nucleotides) under Paracoccaceae bacterium. Its description in RNAcentral is "Rhodobacteraceae bacterium tRNA-Lys". It matches the Rfam family "tRNA". From Rfam's summary of the family: Transfer RNA (tRNA) molecules are approximately 80 nucleotides in length. Their secondary structure includes four short double-helical elements and three loops (D, anti-codon, and T loops). Further hydrogen bonds mediate the characteristic L-shaped molecular structure. tRNAs have two regions of fundamental functional importance: the anti-codon, which is responsible for specific mRNA codon recognition, and the 3' end, to which the tRNAs corresponding amino acid is attached (by aminoacyl-tRNA synthetases). tRNAs cope with the degeneracy of the genetic code in two manners: having more than one tRNA (with a specific anti-codon) for a particular amino acid; and 'wobble' base-pairing, i.e. permitting non-standard base-pairing at the 3rd anti-codon position. Lineage: Bacteria; Pseudomonadati; Pseudomonadota; Alphaproteobacteria; Rhodobacterales; Paracoccaceae. The record is from RNAcentral.
GGGCCCUUAGCUCAGUUGGUAGAGCAACUGACUUUUAAUCAGUAGGUCGCUGGUUCGAACCCAGCGCGGCUCACCA